CCCUUCUUCAUUUCAUGUUGGGGCAAAAGGGCCACUUUACUUGAUAUGGCUUCUGAUCCAAGACUCGUAAUCACCAAACGCGUUACAUAUUCUAUCCCGACAUCUAUCCGUAUUACCAUAUAUUAUUCGCGAGGACUAGAAUCUAAAGAAACCCCAUUUUAUCAAAUCCUCUAUCAUCAGAGUCCUUCAAAUAAUGUGCCUAAACUCCAAAUAGAUGAAGUUCCCUUAGAAAGUCCCAAAAUCACAAGCAUGAUUCAAAUAAAACAGUGACAUCAACAGUCUAUAAUAAUGUGCAUUGCACGAGUCAUGGCAUGUGUAAAAAUGAAGGCAGCAAAGCAUAAUUCAUAAUAAAGUAAGUUGGCAAACAAGGAUAAUAUAGACCCCAUAAAAAAGCAUAAGAUGAAUCAUACAUAUGUUUUCCCUCCACAAAUAAGGCCGACCCUCACUCACUUUUGGUGCAAGGCCCACGUGCCCGGCACGUGAAACUCAUCAUAGAAAAAGAUGAAAUUAUUGAAAGAGAAGAUAACAAAGGGCAACUACAAUUGACAGGAAGACAAAGCUGAGUUCAUUAAGAAAAUCUUACAAUAGCAAUGUAUUUAUGAGUACUAUUUUCUAGUUGUCCACAUUAAGGAAGCACAUACUAUGCACACAAAUCCGAUGUUCAUUUGCUACUCUUAGUUAGGCUAAGUCUUUUUUUAUCUUUAUUAGUUUCGACAAUCUCGUUUUCAGCAGUGGUACUUGAUGGCAAAGAAGAAGACCUGGUUCAGUCUAAUAAAGAGGUUCUUCAUUUCAGACCCACAAUCAAGAAGAGAAAAGGUACACAAACUGAAAAUUUUCAAUUCAUAAUUUUUAUUGUGUAGAAGAUUUACCUGAAGUGAUUUAAAUCUCUCGUACGCUGCAAGAAGGAUAAGCGAAGGAGAUGGGUAUGCCGAUUGCUUAAGGUGAAAGAGCUCGUGCCAUCCUCUCCGAGAGAAAGGCUGCCAUGGCAACUCACAGAACAUAAUAAUACUACUUCUCUUCCAGUAACCGUUACAACAGACACUCCUGAGCUUCGGCAGAUCCCCGGAAAUGGGGAAACAGCCCAUCAACACAAGGAGAGUCCAGAAUCUUCUGAAAGCUACAGUCAUGCCGGUAUUCUGAAACUCCCUCAUCAACGCAACAGAGAGUUAGAAGCUUCGGCUGCUAUCAAAGUUCAAGCUGCAUUUCGCGGUUAUCUUGUGAGUUUCUUUGAGAUCCUUUAUUUGGAUGGUAAUUUCACUCAGCAGGUGUUGAAAAUGGAACAUUUAUGAGAACUAAUGAGAGGAGUACAAAAAUCAUCAAUGUCAUCAACAUUCAUAAAGCAUCACACCAAACUGAAACAGCCUAGUAAAAUAAAUCGAUGAAACUUAACUGAGAAAUUCAUUAUGCUUUGUAAGAGUAUAACUUGCUGUCAUCUUGGGGUUUCAGGCAAGGAAAGCACUAAGAGCACUGAAAGGAGUCGUCAAGCUUCAGGCUCUCAUUCGUGGUUGGGCUGUUCGACAGCAAGCUAUCAACACACUCAAGUGUCUACAGUCCAUAGUAAACAUUCAAUCAGAAGUUUUCUCAAAGAGGUGUGAAAGAGUUGAGUUGCAGUGUAAAGAUUACAAAUCACAUGAUUUCAGCGAAAAGGACAUAAAGGUUAAGUUGUGGAAUGUGGUUUCCUUAAUAUAUCUACAUUCAUGUAUUAGCUUCUAUUCUUUAUUACUAAUAGGAAAAGGGAUUGUGAUGACGAAAAGGACAUACGCAUAAUAAACUACAUCAACAAAACAAAGCUUAAGUAAAUCUCACCCCGAUUAGAUAGAAGGGGCAAGGAGUAGAUAGAAUGUCACCAGUCUCUUACAGUGUGCUAUCAUGCAGUUUGAGUUUCAUAAUCAAGGCAGAAAAAACAUGAUAAGGG
This 1915-nucleotide long non-coding RNA is filed under the name Salvia miltiorrhiza (redroot sage). RNAcentral describes it as "long non-coding RNA (SMIL_LNC002615)". The record is from RNAcentral. Lineage: Eukaryota; Viridiplantae; Streptophyta; Magnoliopsida; Lamiales; Lamiaceae.